GAUGAAGAACGUAGCGAAAUGCGAUAAGUAAUGCGAAUUGCAGAAUUCCGUGAGUCAUCGAAUCUUUGAACGCACAUUGCGCCCUCUGGUAUUCCGGAGGGCAUGCCUGUCUGAGCGUCAUUGUCAACCCUCAAGCUCAGCUUGCUGUUGGGUCCCCGUCGUUGCUUUAACGGCGGACCCGAAAGGUAAUGGCAGAGUCCGUGAGACCCUAGACGCAGCGAGCUUCUAGCACGCGUCUGGACGUUUUUCGGGCUCGGUCUUAACUAGAUGAUAACUUCCGAUUGACCUCAGAUCAGGUAGGGAUACCCGCUGAACUUAAGCAUAUCAAUGCGGAGGA
This 337-nucleotide unclassified non-coding RNA is filed under the name soil metagenome. RNAcentral describes it as "partial contains 5.8S ribosomal RNA, internal transcribed spacer 2, and large subunit ribosomal RNA". The stretch from base 1 to 120 matches the Rfam family "5.8S ribosomal RNA", at positions 35 to 154 of the family's 154-position model. The record is from RNAcentral.